GGGCACAUGGUGUAGUUGGUUUAUCACGCCCGCUUAGCACGACUAAGUGAUUGCGGGAGGUGUUGGGUUCAAUUCCCAAUGUGUCCA
RNAcentral lists this transfer RNA (87 nucleotides) under Pleurotus ostreatus (oyster mushroom). RNAcentral's name for it is "tRNA-Ala". It matches the Rfam family "tRNA". Rfam says of the family: Transfer RNA (tRNA) molecules are approximately 80 nucleotides in length. Their secondary structure includes four short double-helical elements and three loops (D, anti-codon, and T loops). Further hydrogen bonds mediate the characteristic L-shaped molecular structure. tRNAs have two regions of fundamental functional importance: the anti-codon, which is responsible for specific mRNA codon recognition, and the 3' end, to which the tRNAs corresponding amino acid is attached (by aminoacyl-tRNA synthetases). tRNAs cope with the degeneracy of the genetic code in two manners: having more than one tRNA (with a specific anti-codon) for a particular amino acid; and 'wobble' base-pairing, i.e. permitting non-standard base-pairing at the 3rd anti-codon position. RNAcentral also lists the same sequence under 1 other name. The record is from RNAcentral. Lineage: Eukaryota; Fungi; Basidiomycota; Agaricomycetes; Agaricales; Pleurotaceae.